ACAAGAGCAAAUGAAGCAAAAUGUUGAGAAUGAAGUGAAGCAUCAAAUAGCUAACUUGUUGAGAGAAAUGUGAUGCUGUAGACUCUACUGACUCAAGUGCUUAAGUUAAAAAUGACUGGAAAUUCAUGAAGAUGUUGCCUUUUUACUUAGAGAGUAGUCUAUUUAAUUUAAAAUUUAUGAAAUGUUAGUAGUUGUAAUAGUUUAAUAUACGGUAUUUGAGAUUUAAAAUGUUGUUGGUAUUAUGUUUCAAUUUUUGUUAUUAAACAUGUAAUGGUUCAUUUAUAUUUAGUGAUUUAGUAUUUUAACUUGUGUCCAAUACCAACGCAUUUACUCUAAUAAAUAUUUUUGUGUUUUAGUU
Molecule: non-coding RNA, 358 nt
Organism: Cajanus cajan (pigeon pea)
Lineage: Eukaryota; Viridiplantae; Streptophyta; Magnoliopsida; Fabales; Fabaceae
Source: RefSeq, a predicted model, not a curated record